This 121-nucleotide small nucleolar RNA is filed under the name Drosophila virilis. RNAcentral describes it as "snoRNA:GJ25490". The record is from RNAcentral. Lineage: Eukaryota; Metazoa; Arthropoda; Insecta; Diptera; Drosophilidae.
UGCACACAAUUAGGUGUCUAUUUCCAAAACGAAAUUGACGCUCAGUAAAUGUGCGCAAAACAAUGAAGAUGUGCUCAAAUGUAUUUGUUAACAUGCAAACGCAGACGGUACAAUUUCGACA